UACAGAGGUCUCAAGCGUUGUUCGGAUUCAUUGGGCGUAAAGGGUGCGUAGGUGGCGCUGUAAGUCGGGUGUGAAAUUUCGGAGCUUAACUCCGAAACUGCAUUCGAUACUGCGGUGCUUGAGGACUGGAGAGGAGACUGGAAUUCAUGGUGUAGAGGUGAAAUUCGUAGAUAUCGGGAGGAACACCUGUGGCGAAGGCGGCCACCUGGACAACAACGUGACGCUGAGACGCGAAAGCGUGG
RNAcentral lists this ribosomal RNA (242 nucleotides) under uncultured bacterium. RNAcentral's name for it is "partial 16S ribosomal RNA". It matches the Rfam family "Bacterial small subunit ribosomal RNA", at positions 524 to 764 of the family's 1533-position model. The record is from RNAcentral.